Molecule: transfer RNA, 87 nt
Organism: Bathycoccus prasinos
Lineage: Eukaryota; Viridiplantae; Chlorophyta; Mamiellophyceae; Mamiellales; Bathycoccaceae
Rfam family: tRNA
About the family: Transfer RNA (tRNA) molecules are approximately 80 nucleotides in length. Their secondary structure includes four short double-helical elements and three loops (D, anti-codon, and T loops).
Source: Rfam
GGAGGUAUGGCUGAGUGGCUGAAGGUAUUGGUUUGCUAAAUCAACGUGCAAUUUAAUGCACCAUGGGUUCGAAUCCCAUUUCCUCCG